CGCCUUGCCAGCCCGCUCAGAAACUCAAAGGAAUUGACGGGGGCCCGCACAAGCGGAGGAGCAUGUGGUUUAAUUCGAUGAUACGCGAGGAACCUUACCUGGGCUCGAACGUAAGAUGACUGUAGGUGAAAGCUUACAUCUCUUCGGAGCAUUUUACGAGGUGCUGCAUGGUUGUCGUCAGCUCGUGCCGUGAGGUGUCGGGUUAAGUCCCAUAACGAGCGCAACCCCUACCUUUAGUUGCCAUCAGGUUAAGCUGGGGACUCUAAAGGAACUGCCUACGCAAGUAGUGAGGAAGGCGGGGAUGACGUCAAAUCAGCACGGCCCUUACGUCCAGGGCUACACACGUGCUACAAUGGCCGAUACAGAGGGCAGCUACCUGGUGACAGGAUGCAAAUCUCCAAAGUCGGUCUCAGUUCGGAUCGGAGUCUGCAACCCGACUCCGUGAAGUUGGAUUCGCUAGUAAUCGCGCAUCAGCCAUGGCGCGGUGAAUACGUUCCCGGGCCUU
This 505-nucleotide ribosomal RNA is filed under the name uncultured Sphingobacteriales bacterium. RNAcentral describes it as "bacterial SSU rRNA". It matches the Rfam family "Bacterial small subunit ribosomal RNA", at positions 903 to 1382 of the family's 1533-position model. The record is from RNAcentral. Lineage: Bacteria; Pseudomonadati; Bacteroidota; Sphingobacteriia; Sphingobacteriales.